Molecule: small RNA, 105 nt
Filed under: Citrobacter freundii
Lineage: Bacteria; Pseudomonadati; Pseudomonadota; Gammaproteobacteria; Enterobacterales; Enterobacteriaceae
Description: yybP-ykoY
Rfam family: Manganese Mn2+ riboswitch aptamer (yybP-ykoY)
About the family: This RNA was originally discovered in E. coli during a large scale screen and was named SraF. The family was later found to exist upstream of related families of protein genes in many bacteria, including the the yybP and ykoK genes in B. subtilis.
Source: RNAcentral
GCGCCCGUCGUUGGGGAGUAGCCGAUUUCCAGACUCCGGAAAUGUACGUGUCAACAUACUCGUUGAAAAACGUGGCGCGUACGGACUGAACUUACAGGUUCAGUC